CACACUUUCGGAUUUAUAAUAUUAGUAUUAUCUAUACUAAUAUUAUAAAGAGGUAAAGUCUUUAAGUUUGUUUCUAAGGGGUAAUCUCUGCAAGUACCUACUGA
Maniola jurtina (meadow brown) is the source of this 104-nucleotide long non-coding RNA. RefSeq lists it as uncharacterized. The record is from RefSeq and is a predicted model, not a curated record. The transcript has 2 exons. Lineage: Eukaryota; Metazoa; Arthropoda; Insecta; Lepidoptera; Nymphalidae.